UGCUAGUCUAUGUUUAGAGUUGAUUAAGCUUCUUGUUGUUAUUUUCUCCAUCAACUGGAAAUGUUGGGUUACUCUUUGUUGAUUGGUUAUGGUUGAUAAUUGCUAUUUUGUUAGGGGAAUGAGGUUUGAUUAUGAUGGGAAAGGUAAAAUGUUAAGUGUUAGGAGGGGACCGUAAGAGAAUAGCCAGAGUUAGAUUCAGCUUUGAUUACCAUGGCCAAGUUGCAAAUGACUUGCUGUUCUGGAGGUGCAAGGAGAAACUGAGUGUCGGGCUCUAUAUAUUUGUUUUUCCAAAUCCUCCAAGUUUCAUUACUUUAAGUGUCAAUUGUGUUUUGUCUUUGCUAUUUCUGCUGUUAGUAACAUGGUUCUUUUGUUUCUCUUUUUUGGUCUGAUACCUUUUUGAGCUUAACUAUAUAUGCAUAGCUUUGCUACCACACAUGAUUGUUUUCUAGGGGACUAAAUCCCCUUGGGGAGAUUUCCCUUCAUUUGGUCCGCUUUGAGAUUUCAGUCAUUUCUCCUCACUUUGAUCUGUGUUGAGGGAUUUUACCUCAUUUAGAUCUGCUUUGAGGAGAUUUCACCUCACUAUAAUUAAUACGCCUUGUGGGAAUUUCACCUCACUUGGAUCCGUCUUGAGGAGAUUAAUUUCACUCACUAAGGUCCGUCUUGAGGGAAUUUAACCUCACUUGGAUCUGUUUUGAAGAGAUUUUACCUCACUUGGAUCUUCCUUAAGGAGAUUUCAUCUUGACUACUCUUUUAGCUCUUCUUCCUUAUCAGGGAUAAGGAUAGGUGGCUGACGGUCUGUUAGAGGAGGGAGGAGAAAGAAAGAAAAGGAACAGAGAGAGGGAUGGAAAGAAAGAAAGGGAACAGAGAGGGGAGGGAAAGAAAAAGAAGAGGGGGAGGAGGAGAAAGAAAGAGACCACGGAAAAAAAUAGAGAAGGAAGAAAGAAAACGGAGUCGAAGAUAAAAGUAGAUGUACGUGUAAGGGGAAGAGAGUUUUUGACAUUUGAGAGAGAAAGAAUCAGGGUUUUAGUCUUGCAGACUUUUUUGUGAGUGUUUAAGAAAUCCAAGCCUAGAGUUUUGAUUACUGUAAGUUUGAAGGUGUGAGCAUGAUUUCAUGGUUUUGGGUUUCACCUUUGAGAUUUCCGGAGCUGGGGGUAUUUAAAGAGGCUGAGAUUUUUAGCAGAGGUUGAGCUUUAUUUCGGUGAACUCUAUGGCUUUUGCUUCUGUUUAAGAUACGAGUUCACUCGAUUUGGCUUUCCAUUAGCUAGAAGAGGAAGUUACCAAUUAUAAAAUUUGGAAGGACUUGGUCAUAAUCCCAAGAAAUAGGAACAAGAAAAAAUAUAAUCAUUGUGGUGGUUCACGUCCUUUCACGAAACACAUGGAAGCUGAAGAACAGAAAGGUAAAAAUGUGACCUGUUGAGAAUUGGGGUCUCAUGCAUCAACAUCGAGGCAGCAAUGGUGGUGUUUGGAUCAAUGAAGAAGCGGAGAGGACAGGGAAAAAUCUGAUUGAAGAGUUGAUUAAAACCAAGCAACAGUUGGCUGAGUCUGAGGAUACCCCAUUUGAAGAUGUUGUAGUGCCUAUCCCUAUGCAAUUAGAUAUCUUGGCUAAGGAGCUUGGAACUAUGAAGGGUAAGACCAUUCGAGGUGUGGGCUAUGGUCUUAAAAAGGACAGAUUUUGUUCUUCAAUCCCUGCAUCCACAUCUAACCCAACAAAUGCUCAAUUUAUGAGGUACAUUAUUCUAUUGGAAGAACGACUUACUUCUCUUGAGGGUGAGAAACAACCUCAACCUCCUACACAUGAUGUGGAUGAAGAGGGUGGUGAGGAGGGUGAGGAGGAUGAGAAUGAGGAUAUGGAUGUGCUUUAGGUGUUGAUAUCCUCAUUAGUUUUUUGCAAGUUAUAUUUUAGAUGUGUACAAAUGAAGCCAUGAUAUUUCCACAUGCAUAGAUAUCCCUUAGUUUAGGGC
Rosa rugosa (rugosa rose) is the source of this 1961-nucleotide long non-coding RNA. RefSeq lists it as uncharacterized. The record is from RefSeq and is a predicted model, not a curated record. The transcript has 6 exons. Lineage: Eukaryota; Viridiplantae; Streptophyta; Magnoliopsida; Rosales; Rosaceae.